GUGUUAGCCGCCGCGGUAAUACGUAGGGUCCAAGCGUUAUCCGGAUUUACUGGGUGUAAAGGGCGAGUAGACGGUUAGGCAAGUCAGAUGUGAAAACUCAGGGCUCAACUUUGAGACUGCAUCUGAAACUGUCUGACUAGAGUGCAGAAGAGGUAAGUGGAAUUCCUAGUGUAGCGGUGAAAUGCGUAGAUAUUAGGAGGAACACCAGUGGCGAAGGCGACUUACUGGGCUGUAACUGACGUUGAGGCGCGAAAGUGUGGGGAGCAAACAGGAUUAGAUACCCUGGUAGUCCACACUGUAAACGAUGGAUACUAGGUGUAGGCACGAAUGUGUCUGUGCCGGCGCAAACGCAAUAAGUAUCCCACCUGGGGAGUACGACCGCAAGGUUGAAACUCAAAGGAAUUGACGG
This 409-nucleotide ribosomal RNA is filed under the name uncultured bacterium. RNAcentral's name for it is "bacterial SSU rRNA". It matches the Rfam family "Bacterial small subunit ribosomal RNA", at positions 505 to 916 of the family's 1533-position model. The record is from RNAcentral.